RNAcentral lists this ribosomal RNA (443 nucleotides) under uncultured bacterium. RNAcentral describes it as "partial 16S ribosomal RNA". It matches the Rfam family "Bacterial small subunit ribosomal RNA", at positions 338 to 795 of the family's 1533-position model. The record is from RNAcentral.
CCUACGGGCGGCAGCAGUGGGGAAUAUUGGGCAAUGGGCGCAAGCCUGACCCAGCAACGCCGCGUGAAGGAAGAAGGCUUUCGGGUUGUAAACUUCUUUUCUCAGGGACGAAGCAAGUGACGGUACCUGAGGAAUAAGCCACUGCUAACUGCGUGCCAGCAGCCGCGGUAAUACGUAGGUGGCAAGCUUUAUCCGGAUUUACUGGGUGUAAAGGGCGUGUAGGCGGGAAAGCAAGUCAGAUGUGAAAACCAUGGGCUCAACCUGGGGCCUGCAUUUGAAACUGUUUGUCUUGAGUACUGGGGAGGCAGACGGAAUUCCUAGUGUAGCGGUGAAAUGCGUAGAUAUUAGGAGGAACACCAGUGGCGAAGGCGGGCUGCUGGACAGCAACUGACGCUGAGGCGCGAAAGCGUGGGGAGCAAACAGGAUUAGAUACCCGAGUAGUC